RNAcentral lists this ribosomal RNA (253 nucleotides) under uncultured bacterium. RNAcentral describes it as "partial 16S ribosomal RNA". It matches the Rfam family "Bacterial small subunit ribosomal RNA", at positions 524 to 776 of the family's 1533-position model. The record is from RNAcentral.
UACGGGGGGGGCAAGCGUUGUUCGGAAUUACUGGGCGUAAAGGGCUCGUAGGUGGCCAACUAAGUCAGACGUGAAAUCCCUCGGCUUAACCGGGGAACUGCGUCUGAUACUGGAUGGCUUGAGUUCGGGAGAGGGAUGCGGAAUUCCAGGUGUAGCGGUGAAAUGCGUAGAUAUCUGGAGGAACACCGGUGGCGAAGGCGGCGUUCUGGACUGUCUCUGACACUGAAGAACGAAAGCCAGGGGAGCAAACGGG